Gopherus evgoodei (Goodes thornscrub tortoise) is the source of this 1583-nucleotide RNA transcript. It is a transcript of the gene named sentrin-specific protease 1-like, with no coding region annotated. The record is from RefSeq and is a predicted model, not a curated record. NCBI's taxonomy places the organism in Eukaryota, Metazoa, Chordata, Testudines, Testudinidae. The transcript has 7 exons.
CAAAAUUAUGAGAGUUGAAGGUAAGAGAGUGAAAUUACAAACCAUCUCAGGGAAACAGUUAGGAACCAUGUACAGUAUUGCACACUUAAAACCAGUAAAAGAGCCAACAACAUUAGCUGCUGAAAGCACAUCAGAGGGAAAAACUGGCACUGAAAUUGGAGUUGGUGACGCUGAACCAGAAACACCCACGGAAGAGAUUAGAGAAGUGGAUGGCACUGUAUCUCAUGACAGCAAAGUGGAAAACAUAGAGGUCACAGCAAUAGAAAAAGAGGAAUAUAUAGGGCAAGAUGUGUCAAACAAUGAUACAAGUGAUGCUGAUGACAGUUUUGAUGACAUGCUUACAGAGGAAUUGGAAGACAAGCAAUGGCUUCUGAAAGUAAAAUUGGUAAUGACCAGCAAACACACAGAGAGACUGGAGGCGAAAGUGAGAAACAUAAAAUUGUAUGGCUCUUCAUUUCAUUGCCUGAAACCAAGAAGCUGGAUAAGUGAUGAGGUACAUUUAAGUACCACUAAACAUGUAUUUGUUGAUGUGAUUGAUUACUCAAAUACCAUUGUAAUUGUGCUUUUCUUCCAUCAUGUGUUGUAGGUUAUUGAUGCAUUUUUGAGCUGUGUAGUUGAGAAAGCAGAUGGAAAGGUACAAGCCAUCUCAUCAGUAGUUUCCACUGUCAUUCUCUCAGGCAGAGCUACACAAGUGAAAGUGAAGAUAGCCUUGAUGAAAAAAAAGGAAUUGUUAAUAAUUGACCCAUUGUGUGAUGAGAUCAGAUAUGAAAGAACAUGCCUGAGGAAUUGGAGAAACUUCAUCAAACGAUUAACUAGUAAAUCCUCAUCUGAUUGGAACAGUAAAAUUAUGUAGCAUCCCAGACAAAGUGAUGGCCACAACUGUGGACCACUCAUCUUAAAGUUUGCAGAAACAUAUUUGCAGCACAAAGACAUCAGUACGGUGGAAACAACACAGAAGGCUAAUACUGCGUUUAGAAGACAUAUAGCAAUUCUUCUAAUGAAGGAGUCAGGUAAUUACUUUCUACCAUGUAUUGUGGACUCAUUAGGCACAUGUGAGGAUAACAUGAAGAGUGGAAUUUUGUCACAUAACAGACAGUUAUCUUAAUAACCCUAAAGUGGGAUAUCUCACAGGUUUGGUUCUGAAAUGGUGACUAUGAAUCAAUAAUAUCUUUAAGUACACAAAAAUUUGAAUGGGGUGAAUGAUUACUAUUGAUCGACCAGUUAAAUGAAACUUGAAUUUUUAGAUACAGGUGCAGUAAACUUAAAAUUGGAAAAAAAUAUUCCCAAAAAAGGAAGAGAUAUGUGUGUUCAAACCAUUGACUGGAUUACAAUAUUGACAAUUAAUACAUCAAGAUUAGCAUUUUCAGUGUUGGUCGUAACGUAUUCAUCAUUUCGUAAUGCUAUAUUUAUUUUUAAGAAAGCGUGGAGGACUACUGCAUAUACAGCAACCUUAUCGACUGUGAAAAAGAAAGUGAGGAUUGCACGAUGGUCCAGUGUGAUUCUUGCAAGAGGUGGGCACACAUACCAUGCAUUACAGAAGGAAUCAAUCAAGAAAACCUGACAUAUGAGAAGAAAGAGUAUAA